This 475-nucleotide ribosomal RNA is filed under the name uncultured bacterium. RNAcentral's name for it is "bacterial SSU rRNA". It matches the Rfam family "Bacterial small subunit ribosomal RNA", at positions 55 to 527 of the family's 1533-position model. The record is from RNAcentral.
AUGCAAGUCGAACGGUAACAUUUCUAGCUUGCUAGAAGAUGACGAGUGGCGGACGGGUGAGUAAUGCUUGGGAACUUGCCUUUGCGAGGGGGAUAACAGUUGGAAACGACUGCUAAUACCGCAUAAUGUCUUCGGACCAAACGGGGCUUCGGCUCCGGCGCAAAGAGAGGCCCAAGUGAGAUUAGCUAGUUGGUAAGGUAACGGCUUACCAAGGCGACGAUCUCUAGCUGUUCUGAGAGGAAGAUCAGCCACACUGAGACUGAGACACGGCCCAGACUCCUACGGGAGGCAGCAGUGGGGAAUAUUGCACAAUGGGGGAAACCCUGAUGCAGCCAUGCCGCGUGUGUGAAGAAGGCCUUCGGGUUGUAAAGCACUUUCAGUUGUGAGGAAAAGUUAGUAGUUAAUACCUGCUAGCCGUGACGUUAACAACAGAAGAAGCACCGGCUAACUCCGUGCCAGCAGCCGCGGUAAUACG